AGCAGCCGCGGUAAUUCCAGCUCCAAUAGCGUAUAUUAAAGUUGCUGCAGUUAAAAAGCUCGUAGUUGAAUUUCGGGACCAUCAUGUCGGUCGUGCCUCGGUACGUACUGGCAUUGUUGGUUUCUUCCUUCUGACGAACCAUGAUGUCAUUUAUUUGGUGUCGUGGGAAAUCAGGACUGUUACUUUGAAAAAAUUAGAGUGUUUAAAGCAGGCUCACGCUUGAAUACAUUAGCAUGGAAUAAUGAAAUAGGAUGUUUGAUUCUAUUUUGUUGGUUUUUAGGAUCGACGUAAUGAUUAAUAGGGAUAGUUGGGGGCAUUAGUAUUCAAUUGUCAGGGGUGAAAUUCUUGGAUUUAUUGAAGACUAACUACUGCAAAAGCAUUUGCCAAGGAUGUUUUCAUUAAUCAAGAACGAAAGUUAGGGAUCGAAGACGAUCAGAUACCGUCGUAGUCUUAACCAUAAACUAUGCCGACUAGGAAUCAGAUGAUGUUAAUUUUUUAAUGACUCAUUCGGCGCCUUACG
Molecule: ribosomal RNA, 520 nt
Filed under: uncultured Glomus
Lineage: Eukaryota; Fungi; Glomeromycota; Glomeromycetes; Glomerales; Glomeraceae
Description: SSU rRNA
Rfam family: Eukaryotic small subunit ribosomal RNA
Source: RNAcentral